AAGGAUUUAAGUUAAUAAAAACUAGUAGCCUUCAAAGCUUCAAAUAAAGUUAUAUCUUUAAGCCUUA
This 67-nucleotide transfer RNA is filed under the name Staphylinidae sp. BMNH 1274248. RNAcentral describes it as "tRNA-Trp". The record is from RNAcentral. Lineage: Eukaryota; Metazoa; Arthropoda; Insecta; Coleoptera; Staphylinidae.